RNAcentral lists this long non-coding RNA (728 nucleotides) under Phascolarctos cinereus (koala). Its description in RNAcentral is "lncRNA (ENSPCIG00000000040.2)". Lineage: Eukaryota; Metazoa; Chordata; Mammalia; Diprotodontia; Phascolarctidae. The record is from RNAcentral.
UGAGAAGCUAAGUGUGUGUGCAUCUCAAAUUGUCGGCUUGUUUGUGUGUAUGUGUAUUCCAGAAUGUGUCAAAAAAAAAAAGAAAUAUCGAUUUGUUUUAUUUUACAUACUUUUGGAUUUCAUUUUCCAUCUUGGCAUUUCAUUUGCUAGGUCAGGGGAGGGGGCCUCUCACCCCAACUGUGCCCAAACUAGGAGAAGACACUGAGGGAGCUUUUCCUACUCACUCUUUCUUUCAAAUAGAAUCUACGGCUUCAAACUUGGUCGUCCCUAUUCUUCUCCUGAUUGGCUGGAUUGUGGGCUGUGUCGUAAUGAUUUAUGUGAUCUUCUCUUGAUAGAAGAAAGAAGAUUUCAGACUGACAUCUUUUAGAAGACCCAAGAAGAGAAAUGAAAAUGACUAAUCAUUAAAAAUAUUGCAUCGAUAAGCAUGAUAUUUGCCAUCACUUUCAAAGUUUGAGCAUGCAAAGCUACCACCUUAAAGACUGUUUCUUCCUUAAGUAUUUAGGCUGACUUUAGGACCAGGUGCCUUAUCAAUAAGUGGCCUGGUGGGGUGGUCUGAACAACUGACAUCUCAUUGAUGUGAUUAACCGAGACAGAGAAUAUGGCACAUUUUUCUACUAACACCUUUUCUACAAAAAAUAUUGAUAUGAAAACAAUUUAAAAUAGAAAGAGGGUUAACCUAUAAUGUAUGGAGCUCCUUAGGGGAAGAAAAUCCUACAACCCAAUCCCAC